RNAcentral lists this ribosomal RNA (468 nucleotides) under uncultured bacterium. RNAcentral's name for it is "partial 16S ribosomal RNA". It matches the Rfam family "Bacterial small subunit ribosomal RNA", at positions 28 to 507 of the family's 1533-position model. The record is from RNAcentral.
GACGAACGCUGGCGGCGUGCUUAACACAUGCAAGUCGAACGGAAAGGCGCUGAUUUUGUGGGGUGCUUGAGUGGCGAACGGGUGAGUAACACAUGAGUAACAUGCACUUGUCUGAGGGGUAACAUCAGGGAACAGGGGCUAUUACCGGAUAGGAGAUCCUGAUGCACGGUGGGGGAUGGUGAGAUCCGGCGGUUGGGGCUGGACUAGCGGGUUCUCAGCUGGAUGGUGGGGUAGGGGAUUACAAAGGCUAUGACGGGUAGGCGGCCCUAGAGGGUGACCGGCCACAUGGGUCCUGAGGUAGGGCCCAGACUCCUACGGGAGGCAGCGGUGGGAAAUAUGGCAGAAUGGCCGGAAGCGUGUUGCAGCGACGCUGCGUGCGGGAUGCCGGCCUUCGGGUUGUAAACCGCUUUCUCCGGAGACGAAGCGUGAGUGACGGUAAUGGGUAAAGAAGCACCGGCUAACUACGUG